AGUGAACGCUGGCGGUAGGCCUAACACAUGCAAGUCGAACGGCAGCACAGUAAGAGCUUGCUCUUACGGGUGGCGAGUGGCGGACGGGUGAGGAAUACAUCGGAAUCUACUUUUUCGUGGGGGAUAACGUAGGGAAACUUACGCUAAUACCGCAUACGACCUACGGGUGAAAGCAGGGGAUCUUCGGACCUUGCGCGAUUGAAUGAGCCGAUGUCGGAUUAGCUAGUUGGCGGGGUAAAGGCCCACCAAGGCGACGAUCCGUAGCUGGUCUGAGAGGAUGAUCAGCCACACUGGAACUGAGACACGGUCCAGACUCCUACGGGAGGCAGCAGUGGGGAAUAUUGGACAAUGGGCGCAAGCCUGAUCCAGCCAUACCGCGUGGGUGAAGAAGGCCUUCGGGUUGUAAAGCCCUUUUGUUGGGAAAGAAAAGCAGCAGGUUAAUACCCCGCUGUUCUGACGGUACCCAAAGAAUAGGCACCGGCUAACUGCGU
RNAcentral lists this ribosomal RNA (491 nucleotides) under uncultured bacterium. Its description in RNAcentral is "partial 16S ribosomal RNA". It matches the Rfam family "Bacterial small subunit ribosomal RNA", at positions 29 to 506 of the family's 1533-position model. The record is from RNAcentral.